Molecule: long non-coding RNA, 1195 nt
Organism: Mirounga angustirostris (Northern elephant seal)
Lineage: Eukaryota; Metazoa; Chordata; Mammalia; Carnivora; Phocidae
Exons: 3
Source: RefSeq, a predicted model, not a curated record
CGUUCCUCUCCAAUUGGAUGCUGCCUUGUUAUGCUGAAUGCCAGUCAACGGAUUCCUAAAAAUAUCCCCUGACAGAAGUCAUCCUCUUCCAAGGGCCCUGGAGAAUGUUUUCCACAGAAAGGGUAAGGCGCAGAGUGGGGCCGUGCUUCUGGGAGAUAAACAAGUUAAAAUGAAGCCAUUAGGGUGGCUCCUAAUCCAAUAUGGCUGGUGAACUAUCAAGAAGAGGAAAUGUAAACACAAAUAUAUACACAGAGGGAGACCAAGUGAGGACGCAGGGAAAACGCUGUCAUCUAUAUGCCGAGGACAGAGGCCUCGGAAGGAACCAGUCCUGCCAACACCCUGACUUCCAGCCUGCAGAACUGGGAGAGAGUACGCUUCUGUAAAGUAGCUUGGUUUGCAGUGCUUCGUCACAGAAGCUCUGGCAGGAUUUCUGCCAAAUUCAACUUGUUGGAAGGAGUGGUUUACUAUUCUGAGCAUAAAUGUUAACAAAUUGUGGCGUGAAGCUACACUUUUCAUGACAUUUGCCAAGAACAUGUUUCUCCCAUGAAGUCUCUGUCUCCACCCAUGAAGGCCUCCGGGGAAAAGUCAUUUCAUUUCUGGAAACAAUUUAGCAUCAAACGUGGGGCUGCAACUGGUAUCUCUUCGUUCAGCUAGUUAUUUUCUUCAAAUCCAUUAUUAUUCUCACUUAAGAGCAAAAUGAAUUCUCAAGUGGUAUCUUACCAUUUCCAACCAAAAAUAUUCUGUCCGAGCCAAAUUUUAGGUCAAUAAAUUAAGUUCCCUGUGUUAACAAUUAAAAGACAAAAAGCAGAGAGGGAGGUGUGUAAUUGGAUUAGGUUCAAGGCCUUUUUAAACUAGUCUGUGUUCAUACGGCUGAGUUAUAAUGUACUAGGGAAAUAUAUAAGGUCCAGGGCAAUUACUGAAUUUUGUUUAUAGUGGAAAAGGAAAAAUCCUCUUGAGAAUAAAUGUAUUUUAAAAGAAUCAGCUAUUCUAAGCCUUUUUACUUGGUGUUUCUUAUAGAAAAGAGGUUUAGGAUACCAGAUUCAAGAAAACACAAAUUUUACAUCAUUUUUUUUCCUUGGAAGAAUUUCCUAAGAUAUGCAAGUAGAUAACUACACUCCUUCCUCCUCCUCCCCCUUCUUCACUUUUAUCUAGUUCCUUAUUCUCCCACUAGUCAAGUUUAUUCCGCGUCACAGAA